RNAcentral lists this long non-coding RNA (643 nucleotides) under Prunus persica (peach). RNAcentral's name for it is "long non-coding RNA (PPER_LNC004555)". Lineage: Eukaryota; Viridiplantae; Streptophyta; Magnoliopsida; Rosales; Rosaceae. The record is from RNAcentral.
AUGGGAUUGGAAAGCAGUACGAGUCGGUUGGUAGUUCCAACGGUCACCUUCUUAGAUUCAUCAGAUAUACAGUACCAGAGGACAAGGAUGCCACCGUAAGGUUUCCGAGCCACACAGACAUAAACUUCACCACCAUUGUUGUUCAGCAUGAUAUCGCUGGCUUGGAGAUCAAAACAAAGGAAGGUGAUUGGAUUAAUGUUGAGUGUGCACCCUCACAAGCACAGUUCGUAUUCAUGGCGGGUGAUGGACUGCAGGUGGGUCCCUAUUAAUUUUUUACUUAAGAAUACCCUAUUUAUUUGUUAAUGAAUGUUGACAUUUAUGUGCAAGUUGUGGUUUUUUUUUCUUAAUUAAACUUAAGAGCAUCAAAAAAUACAUAUAUAAUUUGCUCUGUGUACCUGGUCAAUUAAAGCAUACGACAUUCAUAGAACAAUAUUUAUAAUAGAACACAGAUAUAAAUAAAUAAACAAGACUCUCUAUAUACCUGUUUAUUCUUAGUUAAACAGAUAAAUCUCUCAUAUAUAUGUUUACGGGGUCUAGGUCAAUAAAAAAUGAUAUUGACCAUGCAGACGAGUGAUCUUAUUUAUUUUUUAAAUUGACCGGCAUCGAUAAAUAAAUAAAGAAAUUUCUCUACACAUGUGCCUGC